This 431-nucleotide ribosomal RNA is filed under the name uncultured soil bacterium. RNAcentral describes it as "bacterial SSU rRNA". It matches the Rfam family "Bacterial small subunit ribosomal RNA", at positions 26 to 450 of the family's 1533-position model. The record is from RNAcentral.
AGAGUGAACGCUGGCGGUAGGCCUAACACAUGCAAGUCGAACGGCAGCACAGUGGUAGCAAUACCAUGGGUGGCGAGUGGCGGACGGGUGAGGAAUACAUCGGAAUCUACCUUUUCGUGGGGGAUAACGUAGGGAAACUUACGCUAAUACCGCAUAAGACCUUCGGGUGAAAGCCGGGGACCUUCGGGCCUGGCGCGGAUAGAUGAGCCGAUGUCGGAUUAGCUUGUUGGCGGGGUAAAAGCCCACCAAGGCGACGAUCCGUAGCUGGUCUGAGAGGAUGAUCAGCCACACUGGAACUGAGACACGGUCCAGACUCCUACGGGAGCAGCAGGUGGGAAUAGUGGACAAUGGGCGCAAGCCUAGACUCCAGCCCAUACCGCGUGGGUGAAGAGGUCCUUCGGGUUAGUAAAGUCCCUUUUGGUAGGGUAAAG